Molecule: long non-coding RNA, 1380 nt
Filed under: Vigna radiata
Lineage: Eukaryota; Viridiplantae; Streptophyta; Magnoliopsida; Fabales; Fabaceae
Description: long non-coding RNA (VRAD_LNC018480)
Source: RNAcentral
GUUGGUUGUUGUUGAUUCCUGCUAAGCGUGAAUGAUGGACGGCACAGUAGUAGUGCAAGGUGUGGGAAUUGCGUUGGCUGCGUUGCUAACCGCCAUAGCAGAAGCAAUGAAGAAUAAUCCGUCCAUUUUCAAGAAGAAGAAAGCCUUCGACUUGGCCAACCUGGAAUCCACCCUAAAGUCGAUAGAACCUAACAUCAGAAAGAUGGAACGUCUCAACAACGAGAUGGGACGCCCAAAGGAGGAGCUAGAACCACUCAUAAAGAAAUUUGAAGAGGGAAUUAAGCUUUUGAAGCAGUGCUCCAAUGUCCGCUGGAACUCCAAGGCUGCUUACAUGGCUCAACUGCAGGCAUUUGAUGACUCCUUCGGUAAGCUUCUCCACACCAUCGUGGAAGUUCAGACUGCAACAGAUCAAAAGGAGAUGCUCCAAUUGCAGCAUCAAAAAGGUUCUUAUAUAUACUUCUUAAUCAAUUACUGUGUGCUGUUGUUUCCAUCAUUCUUAUUAUUUUUACUCUCUCGAACAUGUAUUUUUAAUAAACUUUUUUCAUUUUUGAUGUAGGUUUCCGAAGGUGGCUCGUGUGUUUUCGCAGCAAAUGAGGGACUUGGAAAAGGGAGAUACACCUUGAAAAGUUGUUGAUACUAAAUUCACUACGUAGAUUUUGUAUAUAAAUUGUUUGCAUAUUCUGUGUAUAGAAUUCGAGGUUAAUUAAUGUAGAAAAAUAAAUUUCUAACAUAAUAAACUAUUUAUUAAUAUUUAAUAUUUAGUAUCAUUUUUGAAAUAUAUAUCUUAAAUAGAUACAAAUCUUAAUAUUAAAUUAAUGUUAAAAUUUAUUUCUAAAAUCUAAGAUUGGAGAUAUCUGAUUUUCAAUGUUUUAUUUUGCUAUGCGUUGCACUCUACCGUUGAUAAUAAAUUCUUGGUUUUACAUAUUCUUAUCUAUUUUUGUGAUAUUUAUAUAAACGAAAUAUCGUUCUCCACAUAUCUUGGUCGUGGUUGAGCAAGAAAGUUAUCCUUGGCAGGUUGACUUGACUAUAACAAUAAGAGAGAGAAAGAGAUGGCAUUACCUUCAUUCCAAUGUCUAGAAACACUUGAAAACUGGGUAGUGAAAUGUUUGAUUAUUGUUGAGAGAAGACUGAGCUUGGUUAGUAAAUUUGGCACUACCAGUUCUUGAACCUUCUACUUCCAAGAUCUUACUUACUGUAACCACCAGCCCUUCCAAGAUUUACCGAUUACAUUAUAAAACAAUAUGGCAAGAUGGCUUUAGGGUUUUUAUUUUCAAUUUGAUUUAGAGAUUCUAAUAGAGGUGCCAAUUUCAUCCAUAGUCCACCAUACGAGUCUUAAAUCAUUCUUAAAAAUUCAUAUUUUAGAAAUUUCCUUUAAUGAGA